AUUGAACGCUGGCGGCAUGCUUUACACAUGCAAGUCGAACGGCAGCGCGGGCUUCGGCCUGGCGGCGAGUGGCGAACGGGUGAGUAAUGCAUCGGAACGUGCCCAGUAGUGGGGGAUAGCCCGGCGAAAGCCGGAUUAAUACCGCAUACGACCUGAGGGGGAAAGCGGGGGACCGAAAGGCCUCGCGCUAUUGGAGCGGCCGAUGUCGGAUUAGCUAGUUGGUGGGGGAAAGGCUUACCAAGGCGACGAUCCGUAGCUGGUCUGAGAGGACGACCAGCCACACUGGGACUGAGACACGGCCCAGACUCCUACGGGAGGCAGCAGUGGGGAAUUUUGGACAAAGGGGGCAACCCUGAUCCAGCCAUGCCGCGUGCGGGAAGAAGGCCUUCGGGUUGUAAACCGCUUUUGUUCGGGAAGAAAUCCUCUGGGCUAAUACCCCGGGGGGAUGACGGUACCGGAAGAAUAAGCACCGGCUAACUACGUG
Molecule: ribosomal RNA, 484 nt
Filed under: uncultured bacterium
Lineage: Bacteria
Description: partial 16S ribosomal RNA
Rfam family: Bacterial small subunit ribosomal RNA
Source: RNAcentral